ACCUGGCUGGCUCAGCCAGUAGAGUGUGAGACUCUUGAUCUCAGGGUCGUGGGUUCGAGUCCCACACUGGGGG
Non-coding RNA from Hyaena hyaena (striped hyena), 73 nucleotides. The record is from the annotation of a RefSeq genome assembly. NCBI's taxonomy places the organism in Eukaryota, Metazoa, Chordata, Mammalia, Carnivora, Hyaenidae.